UACAGAGGGGGCAAGCGUUGUUCGGAAUUACUGGGCGUAAAGGGCGCGUAGGCGGCCUUCUAAGUCGAACGUGAAAUCCCUCGGCUUAACCGGGGAACUGCGUCUGAUACUGGAUGGCUUGAGAUUGGGAGAGGGAUGCGGAAUUCCAGGUGUAGCGGUGAAAUGCGUAGAUAUCUGGAGGAAUACCGGUGGCGAAGGCGGCAUCCUGGACCGACAUUGACGCUGAGGAGCGAAAGCUAGGGGAGCAAACGGG
RNAcentral lists this ribosomal RNA (253 nucleotides) under uncultured bacterium. Its description in RNAcentral is "partial 16S ribosomal RNA". It matches the Rfam family "Bacterial small subunit ribosomal RNA", at positions 524 to 776 of the family's 1533-position model. The record is from RNAcentral.